This 430-nucleotide ribosomal RNA is filed under the name uncultured Alphaproteobacteria bacterium. RNAcentral describes it as "bacterial SSU rRNA". It matches the Rfam family "Bacterial small subunit ribosomal RNA", at positions 958 to 1385 of the family's 1533-position model. The record is from RNAcentral. Lineage: Bacteria; Pseudomonadati; Pseudomonadota; Alphaproteobacteria.
AACGCGAAGAACCUUACCAGCCCUUGACAUCCCGGUCGCGGAUUCCAGAGACGGAAUCCUUCAGUUCGGCUGGACCGGAGACAGGUGCUGCAUGGCUGUCGUCAGCUCGUGUCGUGAGAUGUUGGGUUAAGUCCCGCAACGAGCGCAACCCCCGUCCUUAGUUGCUACCAUUUAGUUGAGCACUCUAAGGAGACUGCCGGUGAUAAGCCGCGAGGAAGGUGGGGAUGACGUCAAGUCCUCAUGGCCCUUACGGGCUGGGCUACACACGUGCUACAAUGGCGGUGACAAUGGGACGCUAAGGGGCAACCCUUCGCAAAUCUCAAAAAGCCGUCUCAGUUCGGAUUGGGCUCUGCAACUCGAGCCCAUGAAGUUGGAAUCGCUAGUAAUCGUGGAUCAGCAUGCCACGGUGAAUACGUUCCCGGGCCUUGUA